RNAcentral lists this ribosomal RNA (946 nucleotides) under uncultured archaeon. RNAcentral describes it as "bacterial SSU rRNA". It matches the Rfam family "Archaeal small subunit ribosomal RNA", at positions 1 to 923 of the family's 1478-position model. The record is from RNAcentral.
UUCCGGUUGAUCCUGCCGGACCCCACUGCUAUCGGGGUGGGACUAAAACAUGCGAGUCGAGCGUCUUCAAGCUAUGGUGAAGGCGCGGCGAAUGGCUCAGUAACACGUGGCUAACCUACCCUUUGGACGGGGACAACCACGGGAAACUGUGGCUAAUCCCCGAUAGAUGAGGAGGCCUGGAAUGGUUUCUCAUCUAAAAGGUGUUUAGACCAUGCUUCUAGACGCCGCCAAAGGAUGGGGCCGCGGCCGAUCAGGUUGCUGGUGAGGUAACGGCUCACCAAGCCUAUAACCGGUACGGGCCGUGAGAGCGGGAGCCCGGAGAUGGGCACUGAGACAAGGGCCCAGGCCCUACGGGGCGCAGCAGUUGCGAAAACUCCGCAAUACGCGAAAGCGUGACGGGGCUACCCCGAGUGCCGUCCGCUGAGGAUGGCUUUUCCACGGUGUAAGGAGCCGUGGGAAUAAGGAGAGGGCAAGACUGGUGUCAGCCGCCGCGGUAAUACCAGCUCUCCGAGUGGUGGGGACGAUUAUUGGGCUUAAAGCGUUCGUAGCCGGCUCAGCAAGUCUUCCGUUAAAUCCAACGAUCUAAUCGUUGGGCUGCGGGAGAUACUGUUGGGCUAGGGGGCGGGAGAAGCCGACGGUAUCCUCGGGGUAGGGGUGAAAUCCUAUAAUCCCGGGAAGACCACCAGUGGCGAAGGCGGUCGGCUAGAACGCGCUCGACGGUGAGGGACGAAAGCUGGGGGAGCGAACCGGAUUAGAUACCCGGGUAGUCCCAGCUGUAAACGAUGCGGGCUAGGUGUUGGAGCGGUCACGAACCGCCUCAGUGCCGCACGGAAGCAAUUAAGCCCGCCGCCUGGGGGAGUACGGUCGCAAGGCUGAAACUUAAAGGAAUUGGCGGGGGGAGCACCACAGGCGUGAAGCUUGCGGUUUAUUGGAGUCAACGCCGGGA